GUGGGCAUGGUUGAGGCAGGUUGCAGCAGUGAGGUCGGAGGAGGAGGAGAUGGUUUGCAGCGGUGAGGAAGGGGAUGGAGGAUUCUGCGAGGUGGGUUGUAGCGGCGAGGAAGGGGAUAGAGGAUUCUAUGAGGUGGGUUGCAGUGGUGAGGCCAGCAGGGCCAGCACAAUUAUGCUGGCACCAGGCUGGGUACUCAUGGACACGAUGGAGGCCUGGAGGGGAGGAGGAAGAGAACAUGUGAGGGGAGGAGAUGGUUUGGGAGGAGGACUAGGAAAGCGGGAUGAUACCUUGGGUUUGGGUCGGGUCUUGGGCUUAGGCUCGGGCUCGGACUCAGAUUCGGAUCGACUAGAUUGAACUCGGAUCGGACCGGAUUGGAUUCGGACCAGGCUCGGUAAGGGUGCAAAUGGGUCAGGUA
This 416-nucleotide long non-coding RNA is filed under the name Elaeis guineensis (African oil palm). Its description in RNAcentral is "long non-coding RNA (EGUI_LNC039444)". The record is from RNAcentral. Lineage: Eukaryota; Viridiplantae; Streptophyta; Magnoliopsida; Arecales; Arecaceae.